UACGGUCAUAUCACGUUGCAACACCAGUUCUCGUACGAACACCGAAGUUAAGCAAUGUCGAACCUGGUCAGUAGAUAGAUGGGUGAUCGCUUGAGAAUACCAGGUGCUGUAAG
This 113-nucleotide ribosomal RNA is filed under the name Acanthosepion pharaonis. Lineage: Eukaryota; Metazoa; Mollusca; Cephalopoda; Sepiida; Sepiidae. The record is from RNAcentral.